GAGUGAAACGUUACAAAGUUUUUCCUCUCUGACAUUAGCUUGUAUGGAAACCUAUGAAAGUUCUGUUUGUAAAACUUGUGAUGCCGUGGAUGCCAACAUAAAGUCCGUUUAUCAACUAAUGGCUAAGUGUGAAGAGUUGAGCAAUUCAAUGCAACCCUUGUAUAAAGUUUCUGCUGAAGU
This is a non-coding RNA of Parasteatoda tepidariorum (common house spider), 180 nucleotides long. The record is from RefSeq and is a predicted model, not a curated record. Lineage: Eukaryota; Metazoa; Arthropoda; Arachnida; Araneae; Theridiidae.